CUCGGGGUUACAGCCUUGCUGAAUUAUUCACCCUUGUCUUUUGCGUACUUCUUGUUUCCUUGGUGGGUUCGCCCACCACUAGGACAAACAUAAACCUUUUGUAAUUGCAAUCAGCGUCAGUAACAAAUUAAUAAUUACAACUUUCAACAACGGAUCUCUUGGUUCUGGCAUCGAUGAAGAACGCAGCGAAAUGCGAUAAGUAGUGUGAAUUGCAGAAUUCAGUGAAUCAUCGAAUCUUUGAACGCACAUUGCGCCCUUUGGUAUUCCAAAGGGCAUGCCUGUUCGAGCGUCAUUUGUACCCUCAAGCUUUGCUUGGUGUUGGGCGUCUUGUCUCUAGCUUUGCUGGAGACUCGCCUUAAAGUAAUUGGCAGCCGGCCUACUGGUUUCGGAGCGCAGCACAAGUCGCACUCUCUAUCAACAAAGGUCUAGCAUCCAUUAAGCCUUUUUUUCAACUUUUGACCUCGGAUCAGGUAGGGAUACCCGCUGAACUUAAGCAUAUCAAUAAGCGGAGGAAA
Molecule: ribosomal RNA, 515 nt
Filed under: Alternaria arborescens
Lineage: Eukaryota; Fungi; Ascomycota; Dothideomycetes; Pleosporales; Pleosporaceae
Description: eukaryotic LSU rRNA
Rfam family: 5.8S ribosomal RNA (bases 139-292)
Source: RNAcentral